This 253-nucleotide ribosomal RNA is filed under the name uncultured bacterium. Its description in RNAcentral is "partial 16S ribosomal RNA". It matches the Rfam family "Bacterial small subunit ribosomal RNA", at positions 524 to 776 of the family's 1533-position model. The record is from RNAcentral.
UACAGAGGUCCCGAGCGUUGUUCGGAUUCACUGGGCGUAAAGGGUGCGUAGGUGGUGAGGUAAGUCGGAUGUGAAAUCUCCAAGCUCAACUUGGAAAUGGCAUUGGAAACUACCUUGCUGGAGGUUUGGAGGGGGGACUGGAAUUCUCGGUGUAGCAGUGAAAUGCGUAGAUAUCAGGAGGAACACCGGUGGCGAAGGCGGGUCUCUGGGCCGAUACUGACGCUGAGGCACGCAAGCGUGGGGAGCAAACAGG